RNAcentral lists this ribosomal RNA (381 nucleotides) under Agathomyia falleni. Its description in RNAcentral is "partial 16S ribosomal RNA". Lineage: Eukaryota; Metazoa; Arthropoda; Insecta; Diptera; Platypezidae. The record is from RNAcentral.
UCGAAGGUAGCAUAAUCAGUAGUCUUUUAAUUGGAGGCUGGUAUGAAUGGUUGGACGAGGUAUUAACUGUUUCAUUUAAAAUUUUAUAGAAUUUUAUUUUUUAGUUAAAAAGCUAAAAUAAAAUUAAAAGACGAGAAGACCCUAUAAAUCUUUAUAUUUAUUUUAUUUUAAUUAUAAAGAUUAAUUUAAUUAUAAUUUAAAUAAAUAUUUUAUUGGGGUGAUAUUAAAAUUUAAUAAACUUUUAAUUUUUAAAUACAUUAAUUUAUGAAUAAAUGAUCCAUUAUUAAUGAUUAAAAAUUUAAGUUACUUUAGGGAUAACAGCGUAAUUUUUUUGGAGAGUUCAUAUCGAUAAAAAAGAUUGCGACCUCGAUGUUGGAUUAA